This 252-nucleotide unclassified non-coding RNA is filed under the name uncultured Paenibacillaceae bacterium. Its description in RNAcentral is "contains 16S-23S intergenic spacer region". It matches the Rfam family "Bacterial small subunit ribosomal RNA", at positions 524 to 776 of the family's 1533-position model. The record is from RNAcentral. Lineage: Bacteria; Bacillati; Bacillota; Bacilli; Caryophanales; Paenibacillaceae.
UACGUAGGGGGCAAGCGUUGUCCGGAAUUAUUGGGCGUAAAGCGCGCGCAGGCGGCCAUGUAAGUCUGGUGUAUACUCCCGGGGCUCAACCCCGGAUCGCACUGGAAACUGUGUGGCUUGAGUGCAGAAGAGGCGAGCGGAAUUCCACGUGUAGCGGUGAAAUGCGUAGAGAUGUGGAGGAACACCAGUGGAGAAGGCGGCUCUCUGGUCUUUACCUGACGCUGAGGCGCGAAAGCGUGGGGAGCAAACAGG